Balaenoptera musculus (blue whale) is the source of this 1285-nucleotide RNA transcript. It is a transcript of the gene named transmembrane protein 202, with no coding region annotated. NCBI's taxonomy places the organism in Eukaryota, Metazoa, Chordata, Mammalia, Artiodactyla, Balaenopteridae. The record is from RefSeq and is a predicted model, not a curated record. The transcript is spliced from 6 exons.
AGAACGUGAACUGGCUGCCAAGAUGGAGGGGAAGGAACAAUUAAUCUUUACCUUCUACUGUCCCAAGGUUCCCAAAGUCAAGGGGUACCGGAAAUACCAAAGGCCUACCCUCCCCACCAACCAACAUCCGAGUGCCUCGAUGCCACCCCAGAGGCUGCAGCAUCAUGUGGAUCAGACACACACCUACAUCCGAAUGUUCUGUGGCAGCCUCUGUGGUUUUAGCCUCCUAAUGCUGAUCUGCAUGUCCCCACUGAACUGGGUGCAGUUCCUGGUGAUCAACAAUGGCCUUGAGCUCUACACAGGACUCUGGAUCUCAUGCAACCAUGAGCUGUGCUGGAGCCACACACCCAAGCCACCCUAUCUUUUGCCCCUCACCUCUCUAAGUCUAGGAGGGCUCUCAGCCAGAUUGUGAACAUGGCCUUUCUUCUCUAUGGUGUCCUUGGUGUACCCUUUCUCCCUCCUACCCCAGGUUGUUUCCUCUCCCAAAUUAUGAGUUGAUAGUCUCUUUACCCUCUGGGAAGAACUCGUUUGUCAUUUAUGAGCCUGUUCCUGUGAUGCAAAGAGAUUGUUAUUCUAAUGUGGUUCGCAGAACCAGAAAUGAUUGAUCAUAGCUGGGAGAUAGAGCAAAGUGUCUCAACCUCCAUCAGAUUUAACUUUCAAGAUUACCUCCAAUAUUCCAGGGCCUUCUUCCUCAUCUCUGUCCUCACCAUACUUGUUGCUCUUGGCUGGCUCUUCAGAUCUUGCCUCCCUAGAAGAGGAAGAAUGACUCCUAACUUGGAUCUGAAGGUAUCCAUGCUCAGCUUCAUCUCAGCCUCCUGCUUGCUCCUCUGCCUCAUCCUAUUUCUGGCACAGGUUCACUGGCAUUCUAGGGAUGCCAUGGAGUCAGCUCUCCUAUGGACCUAUCAUAUGAAUUGGGGGAGUGACUUCUUAUACAUGUUUGCUGGGAUUAUCUCCUUCCUCAACCACAUAACUUCCAGAUCUCCUCCCCUUGAUCAAAAUGUCACUGCAGUUCCCAUAGACAAGUCAAGGCUGGGGAUUGGUCCAGUGACUACAGUAUCACCUGCUGAAGAUGCUGGGUCAGGGUCUCAGACAGAAUCUACAAGUGAGAAAGAGAAAAAACUAUCAAGUACAGAACUGUGAUGGUGAUAGGAUAACCCAACUACUUCCUGUCUUAAAACAGGGGAGAAGCUAACUGAGUAGGGAAUGAUUGUGCAGAUUCGAGGAAACUCUCCUAAUAUCAUGGCCAUAUUACUGAAGGAGAGAGCAUUAAAGCUGAUGAAAUGUC